CAGCAGCCGCGGUAAUACGUAGGGGGCGAGCGUUGUCCGGAAUAAUUGGGCGUAAAGGGCGCGUAGGCGGCCAGACAAGUCAGUAGUGGAAGUCCCAUUUUUAAGGUGGGGAGGGCUAUUGAAACUGUAGGGCUUGAGUGCAGGAGAGGUUAUCGGAAUUCCCGGUGUAGCGGUGAAAUGCGUAGAGAUCGGGAGGAACACCAGUGGCGAAGGCGGGUAACUGGACUGCAACUGACGCUGAGGCGCGAAAGUGUGGGGAGCAAACAGGAUUAGAUACCCUGGUAGUCCACACUGUAAACGAUGAAUGCUAGGUGUAGGGGGUAUCGACCCCUUCUGUGCCGGAGUAAACACAAUAAGCAUUCCGCCUGGGGAGUACGGUCGCAAGAUUAAAACUCAAAGGAAUUGACGGGGGCCCGCACAAGCAGCGGAGCAUGUGGUUUAAUUCGAAGCAACGCGAAGAACCUUACCAGGUCUUGACAUCCAGGUAAAGCUUAAGAGAUUAGGUGUGCCUUCGGGCAAUCUGAGACAGGUGGUGCAUGGCC
RNAcentral lists this ribosomal RNA (542 nucleotides) under uncultured archaeon. RNAcentral's name for it is "bacterial SSU rRNA". It matches the Rfam family "Bacterial small subunit ribosomal RNA", at positions 509 to 1050 of the family's 1533-position model. The record is from RNAcentral.